GCAAGUCGAACGAACUCUUCGGAGUUAGUGGCAGACGGGUGAGUAACGCGUGGGAACCUACCUAAUAGUACGGAAUAGCCUUGGGAAACUGGGAAUAAUACCGUAUACGCCUCCAAGUUUUGGUGAUUUGGAGGGAAAGAUUUAUCGCUAUUAGAUGGGCCCGCGUUAGAUUAGAUAGUUGGUGGGGUAAUGGCCUACCAAGUCUACGAUCUAUAGCUGGUCUGAGAGGGUGAUC
Molecule: ribosomal RNA, 235 nt
Filed under: uncultured bacterium
Lineage: Bacteria
Description: partial 16S ribosomal RNA
Rfam family: Bacterial small subunit ribosomal RNA
Source: RNAcentral